RNAcentral lists this ribosomal RNA (253 nucleotides) under uncultured bacterium. RNAcentral's name for it is "partial 16S ribosomal RNA". It matches the Rfam family "Bacterial small subunit ribosomal RNA", at positions 524 to 776 of the family's 1533-position model. The record is from RNAcentral.
CACGUAGGGCGCAAGCGUUGUCCGGAAUUAUUGGGCGUAAAGAGCUCGUAGGCGGUCUGUUGCGUCCGCUGUGAAAACUCGGGGCUUAACCCCGAGCCUGCAGUGGAUACGGGCAGACUAGAGGUAGGUAGGGGAGAAUGGAAUUCCCGGUGUAGCGGUGAAAUGCGUAGAUAUCGGAAGGAACACCAGUGGCGAAAGCGGCUUCCUGGUCCAGCACCGACGUUCAGGCACGAAAGCGUGGGGAGCAAACAGG